GCCUGGCUGGCUCAGUCGGGGGGCAUGAGCCUCUUGACCCCAAGGUUGUGAGUUUGAGCCCCACGCUGGGUU
RNAcentral lists this transfer RNA (72 nucleotides) under Ailuropoda melanoleuca (giant panda). It matches the Rfam family "tRNA". From Rfam's summary of the family: Transfer RNA (tRNA) molecules are approximately 80 nucleotides in length. Their secondary structure includes four short double-helical elements and three loops (D, anti-codon, and T loops). The record is from Rfam by way of RNAcentral. Lineage: Eukaryota; Metazoa; Chordata; Mammalia; Carnivora; Ursidae.